This is a long non-coding RNA of Oncorhynchus kisutch (coho salmon), 2268 nucleotides long. RefSeq lists it as uncharacterized. The transcript is spliced from 3 exons. The record is from RefSeq and is a predicted model, not a curated record. NCBI's taxonomy places the organism in Eukaryota, Metazoa, Chordata, Actinopteri, Salmoniformes, Salmonidae.
UGUGAAUGUUUUACUAGAAAGCUCAAAAAGGUAUUUCAAAAUACUUGAUACAAUAAUUGGCAAAACCUGGCACAUCCUGAGAAGAAAGUGAAUAUUUUACUGGAGACCAAGAGCAGGGUCAUAUUCUUACACAAUACGAGUUCCACAGCUUCACAUUCGCAGAACCUCUGCACUCUCAACAGGGAGGGGUUGCUGGGUGGCCAAGUUUUUUGGGGGGGUCUGCAGGGCCACACCUCCUGAAAUCAUUCACACUACAAUUAACUCCCUAUCUGUUCUUACAGAACCUCCUUCGUGUGUCAAAAGAAAAAGGAAGCAUUCACUUCAGUCCUGUUUCUUCGAUGUUUGACCUAUAAAUUGUCUCACUUCUACAGUCUUUCUCCAGCACCUCCUCUUCUAAGGUGGAAGGUGUUACGACUGCUGAGGGGCUGUGGGUGUCUCUCUCUCUCCUGCCCUGGAUUGUCUGGUAGACAUCAGAAUCCACAAGAGGAUACCUCUGCCUGGGGACAUCACAACUGUGACAAAUGGGAGGGAACAGCGAAUAAUAAUGCAAUUAUGAUACUCGUUAUACACUAUAUACAGAGGAGUUACCUUUAGGUAAUAAAAAUGCAUACAGUAAUUGGAUGCGUCACCUCUCCCUGCGUGGGACACUUUAAAGAGUAUCCACAUGGGGGCAGCAAAUUACUUUAAUCACAAUCUGUUGGCUACGAUCAUCGAUUUACUGUCCUGAAUCAGUCACCUCUUUGUUGUUGGGGAUAUGAUCAGUCUUCCUGUCCACAGGAAUCAUGGAAAAUAUGUUGGGCACGGAAAUCAAGUAAAAGAACCAACCUGGUUAUGACAGACUAACUCCUGAAGAAAAGGCACCCUUCUGGUCAGUCCAAAGACUGUUUCAGGUCUGUCAUGAAGGGACCGAGAGAAACAAAGUGAACAGAACCCAGUCAUAUGUUUGCAAUAUGCUAAUGAAGUGAAUAUAUAACUCUUUCUCAGCAUACCUGUCUAUGAGGAAUGUGAGCUGAGGUCUGGAUUUCUGGCUGUUUUUCUAAGCCGGCACAUGCAGCAUCCCUGCAGGACUCUCCAUUUGUCUCCACUAUGAUUUCACCCACUCACAAGUUAGCCAGCUCAGCUUCACUUAACCCAUUCACCUGUAGAUAUAGAGACGGUGUGAGAAAAUGCACUGAAAUUUGACUAAAUUAAGAAUGUUGUAUCUGUUCAUUUGUGUAGUGUGUGUGUGUGUGUGUGUGUGUGUGUGGCAGGACAGUCUGUGUUUGCAGCUACCUUGGUGACAGUCAGGGGCGGAGGCACCAUGGAGGUCCAGUCAGGGUUACCAUCAUGUCAUCAGGGUAAGAGGUCGAGGAAACAGAGCAAGCUGAGUAAAUCUGACAAUGCCCAGACAGGAAAGCUUGGAGACAGCGAAAGACGAUUAGAGAACCACGACCUGUAUCCAGAUCCAAGCCCUGAGACUGCCCACAAGGGCUGCUUCACCCGGCCCUUGUGAGUCUCGAACAAACUUUCUGUCGGCCAAAGUAUUGUAAGUGGAUAAAAUGAAUAAACCCAGCAAAAAUGGAAAAGUCCACUCACUGUCAACUGCCUUUAUUUUCAGCAAACUUAACGUGUAAAUAUUUGUAUGACCAUAACAAGAUUCAACAACUGAGACAUAAACUGAACAAGUUCCACAGACAUGUUCUUACAGACAGAAAUGGAAUAAUGUGUCACUGAACAAAGGGGUGGUCAAAAUAAAAAGUAACAGUCAGUAUCUGGUGUGGCCACCAGCUGCAUUAAGUACUGCAGUGCAUCUCCUCCUCAUGGACUGCACCAGAUGUGCCAGUUCUUGCUGUGAGAUGUUACCCUACUUUUCCACCAAAGCACCUGCAAGUUCCUGGACACUUCUGGGUGGAAUGGCCCUAGCCCUCACCCUCCAUCCAACAGGUCCCAGGCGUACUCAAUGGGAUUGAGAUCCGUGUUUUUCACUGGCCAUGGCAGAACACUGGCAAUCUCAACGCUGUGUGUUACAGGGAAGACAUCCUCCUCCCUCAUGUGGUACCCUUCCCGCAGGCUCAUCCUGACAUGACCUACUGCAUAUUGCAACCGAAGUUGCACAAGAUCUCUGCUGUAGCCUGGUAUAGAAACUGAGUUUGUAGUACCAGAAAUAUUGAUAUGCUUUCAUUUUGAGAAUAAACAAUGUUUUUCUUCAGUUGGCUACAUAGUUGUCUGACUGUAAUUUCCCUAGGCCUAUUUAUUUAAAGUUAUCAAAUAAAAGAGAAACGGUCUUCA